Molecule: unclassified non-coding RNA, 20 nt
Filed under: Mus musculus (house mouse)
Lineage: Eukaryota; Metazoa; Chordata; Mammalia; Rodentia; Muridae
Description: oocyte_clustered_small_RNA86
Source: RNAcentral
CUAAAGACAAGAGAUCCCGG